RNAcentral lists this ribosomal RNA (387 nucleotides) under uncultured bacterium. RNAcentral describes it as "bacterial SSU rRNA". It matches the Rfam family "Bacterial small subunit ribosomal RNA", at positions 355 to 734 of the family's 1533-position model. The record is from RNAcentral.
UAGGGAAUCUUCGGCAAUGGACGGAAGUCUGACCGAGCAACGCCGCGUGAGUGAAGAAGGUUUUCGGAUCGUAAAGCUCUGUUGUUAGAGAAGAACGGUAAUGGGAGUGGAAAAUCCAUUACGUGACGGUAACUAACCAGAAAGGGACGGCUAACUACGUGCCAGCAGCCGCGGUAAUACGUAGGUCUCGAGCGUUGUCCGGAUUUAUUGGGCGUAAAGCGAGCGCAGGCGGUUCUAUAAGUCUGAAGUAAAAGGCAGUGGCUCAACCAUUGUAUGCUUUGGAAACUGUAGAACUUGAGUGCAGAAGGGGAGAGUGGAAUUCCAUGUGUAGCGGUGAAAUGCGUAGAUAUAUGGAGGAACACCGGUGGCGAAAGCGGCUCUCUGGUC